CCUACGGGGAGCAGCAGUGGGGAAUAUUGGGCAAUGGGCGCAAGCCUGACCCAGCAACGCCGCGUGAAGGAAGAAGGCUUUCGGGUUGUAAACUUCUUUUCUGGGGGACGAACAAAUGACGGUAUCCCUGGACUAAGCCACGGCUAACUACGUGCCAGCAGCCGCGGUAAUACGUAGGUGGCAAGUGUUAUCCGGAUUCAUUGGGUGUAAAGGGCGUGUAGGCGGGAAUGCAAGUCAGAUGUGAAAACUAUGGGCUCAACCCAUAGCCUGCAUUUGAAACUGUAUUUCUUGAGUGCUGGAGAGGCAAUCGGAAUGCCGGGUGGAGCGGUGAAAUGCGUAGAUAUACGGAGGAACACCAGUGGCGAAGGCGGAUUGCUGGACAGUAACUGACGCUGAGGCGCGAAAGCGUGGGGAGCAAACAGGAUUAGAUACCCCAGUAGUC
Molecule: ribosomal RNA, 442 nt
Filed under: uncultured bacterium
Lineage: Bacteria
Description: partial 16S ribosomal RNA
Rfam family: Bacterial small subunit ribosomal RNA
Source: RNAcentral